Molecule: ribosomal RNA, 4071 nt
Filed under: Coccidioides posadasii str. Silveira
Lineage: Eukaryota; Fungi; Ascomycota; Eurotiomycetes; Onygenales; Onygenaceae
Description: 28S ribosomal RNA
Rfam family: Eukaryotic large subunit ribosomal RNA
Source: RNAcentral
ACUUUCAACAAUAAAUCUCUUGAUUCUGGCAUUGAUAAAGAAUGCAGUAAAAUAUGAUAAGUAAUGUAAAUUACAGAAUUCUGUAAAUUAUUGAAUCUUUAAACAUAUAUUGUGUUCUCUGAUAUUCUGAAGAGCAUAUCUGUUUAAGUAUCAUUGCAAACUCUUCAAGCACAGCUUGUGUAUUGAGCCAAUGUCUCUGCUUGUGUGGACAAGUCUGAAAUACAGUGAUGGUACUGAGUUUCUGGUAUCUGAGUGUAUAGGAAAUCACUUCAUCACUCAAAGAUCUGAUUGAGGCUGAUCUCUUUUUUUUAUUAUAUCUGGUUUGAUCUUGGAUCAGAUAGAAGUACCUGCUGAACUUAAGCAUAUUAAUAAGUGGAGAAAAAGAAAUCAACAGGGAUUGUCUCAGUAAUAACAAGUAAAGUAACAAAAGCUCAAAUUUAAAAUCUGGCUCCAUGCAGAGUCUGAGUUGUAAUUUGAAGAGAAUACUUCAGAUGUGGCCAUAGCAUAAGUUUCUUGAAACAAGAUGUUAUAGAGAGUGAGAAUUCUAUCUUUAACUGCUGGACCACACUUAUGUGAAGUUCCUUUAACAAGUCAAGUUGUUUGGAAAUGCAGCUCUAAGUGGAUGGUAAAUUUCAUCUAAAGCUAAAUAUUGGCUGAAGACUGAUAGUACACAAGUAGAGUAAUUAAAAGAUUAAAAGCACCUUGAAAAGAAAGUUAAAUAGCAUAUAAAAUUAUUAAAAGAGAAGUACUUGCAAUCAGACUUGAUUAUGAGAGCUCAGCAGAUAUGCAUGUUUGUGUACUUCUCUACACUCUAGGCUAGCAUCAGUUCUGGUAGUUGAUUAAAGAUCUCUGAAAUAUAUUGUUCUCUGAGAUAUCUUAUAGUCAGAGAUAUAAUAUAGCCAGCUGAGACUAAGAAAUAUGCUUCAGCACAGAUACUGGUAUAAUAAUUGUAAGUGAUCUGUCUUGAAAUAUGAACUAAGAAGUCUAAUAUUCAUGUGAGUGUUCAGAUGUUAAAUCUGUGCACACAGUAAAAGUAAACAGAGAUGGAAGCCUGCAAGAGUGUAUUAUCAACUGAUUCUGAAGUCUUCAGAUGAAUUUGAGUAAAAGUAUAGCUGUUGGAAUCUGAAAAAUGGUGAACUAUGUCUGAAUAAAGUGAAGCCAGAGAAAACUCUGGUGAAGACUCACAGCAGUUCUGAUGUGAAAAUCAAUCAUCAAAUUUGAAUAUAGAAGUAAAAGACUAAUCAAACCAUCUGAUAGCUGGUUCCUGCUGAAGUUUCCCUCAGAAUAGCAGUAACAUUUUCAGUUUUAUAAGAUAAAGCAAAUGAUUAGAGACCUUGGGGUUGAAACAACCUUAAUCUAUUCUCAAACUUUAAAUAUAUAAGAAGCUCUUGUUACUUAAGUAAAUGUGGGCAAUAGAAUGGAUUGUGUGAGGAUCAUAUGUGUGGAUCAGUGUAAGGAUUCGCCGCGAACCCCUUACACGGACGAACAGCACCUGUGAGGGCCAGAGGCCUCAGCUCGCGAGCUGCUGGGAGUUGCAUGUGUCCUCGCGAGGCACUAAGUCACAUGCUCGCGAGCACACAUAAAAGGCCAUCACUGCGCGAACCCCUUGCUGGGAGCCAGUGGCAAUCUUGUUUACAAGUUGUACAUAGUUGCCAGAAUACAGACCUUUUACCUCGCGUACUCUUUUUCCAUGUAUAUUCCUCCUAGAGAUUCAUUGUCACGCUGAUCCACACGUAUGAUCCUCACAAUCAGCAUGACAAUGAAUCUCUAGAAGGAAUAUACAUGGAAAAAGAGUACAUGAGGUAAAAGGUCUGUAUUCUGGCAACUAUGUAUGACUUGUAAACAAGAUUGCUACUGGCUCCCAGCAAGGGGUUCGCGCAGUGACAGCCUUUUAUGUGUGCUCAUGAGCACAUGACUUAGUGCCUCACAAGGACACAUGCAACUCCCAGUAGCUUGUGAGCUGAGGCCUCUGGCCCUCACAGGUGCUGUUUGUCCGUGUAAGAGGUUCGCGGCGAAUCCUUACAGAUUGUUAAUAGUGAGCUAUUUUUGGUAAGGAGAACUGGUAAUGCAGGAUGAACUGAAUAUAAGAUUAAGAUGCUGGAAUACAUACUCAUCAGACACCACAAAAAAUAUUAGUUCAUCUAAAUAGCUUAAUGGUGGCCAUGGAAGUCAGAAUCUGCUAAGAAGUAUGUAACAACUCAUAAGCUGAAUAAACUAGUCCUGAAAAUGAAUGGUGCUCAAGUGUACUAUUUAUAUCUCAUCAUUGGGAUAGAAACAAAGCUCUGAUGAGUAGGCAGGUGUGGAGAUUUGUAAUAAAGUCUUGAAAGUAAUCCUGGGUUGAACAGUCUCUAGUGCAGAUCUUGAUGAUAGUAGCAAAUACUUAAAUAAGAACUUUGAGAACUAAAGUGGGGAAAGAUUUCAUAUGAACAGCAGUUGGAUAUAGAUUAGUUAAUUCUAAGAUAUAGAGUAGUUCUGUUUGAAAGCACACUCUAGUAUGCUGUUUGUUAAAAGGAAAGCUGGUUAAUAUUCUGGCAUCUGGAUAUGGAUUCUCUACAGCAAUGUAACUGAAUGUGAAGAUGUUAGCAGAAGUUCUGGAAAGAGUUCUUUUUUCUUCUUAAUAAUCUAUCAUCCUGAAAUUAGUUUGUCUGAAGCUAGAGUUUCAUGACUGAUAGAGCUCUGCAUCUUUACAAAGUCUGGUGCACUCCUGAUGACUCUUGAAAAUCUGCAGAAAGAAAUAGUUUUCACACCAGAUCAUACUCAUAACUGCAGCAGGUCUCCAAGAUGAAAAGCCUCUAGUUAAUAGAACAAUGUAGAUAAGAAAAGUCAGCAAAAUAAAUCUGUAACUUUGGGAAAAGAAUUGGCUUUAAGAGUUGGGCACAUUAAGUCUUGAAAGAAAGCCUCUGGAGCAGAAGAGCACUAGUCAGAAAACUGGUGAGCAUCUUCCAGCAUUGGAAUACAUAUUCUCUUGACAGACUUUGGCUGUCUGGUGCAUGAUUAAUGACCAACUUAGAACUGGUACAGACAAGAGAAAUCUGACUAUCUAAUUAAAAUAUAGCAUUGUGAUGGUCAGAAAGUGGUGUUGAUGCAAUGUGAUUUCUGUCCAGUGCUCUGAAUAUCAAAGUGAAGAAAUUUAAUCAAGCACAGAUAAAUGGCAGAAGUAACUAUGACUCUCUUAAGAUAGCUAAAUACCUUGUCAUCUAAUUAGUAACACACAUAAAUGAAUUAAUGAGAUUCCCACUGUCUCUAUCUACUAUCUAGUGAAACUACAGCCAAGGGAACAGGCUUGACAAAAUCAGUAAGAAAAGAAGACUCUGUUGAGCUUGACUCUAGUUUGACAUUGUGAAAAGACAUAUUAGGUGUAGAAUAGAUGAGAGCUUUGGCACUGGUGAAAUAUUACUAUCUUUAUUAUUUUUUUACUUAUUCAAUAAAGCAGAACUGGGCUUUACUACCCAACUUCUAAUAUUAAGGUUCUUUGUGGGCUGAUCUAAAUUGAAGACAUUGUCAGGUGAAAAGUUUGACUGGGGCAACACAUCUGUUAAAUUAUAAUACAGGUGUCCUAAGAGAGACUUAUAGAGAACAGAAAUCUCCAGUAGAAUAAAAGAGUAAAAGUUCUCUUGAUUUUGAUUUUCAGUGUGAAUACAAAUCAUGAAAGUGUAGCCUAUUGAUCCUUUAGUCCCUUGAAAUUUGAGGCUAGAGAUGCCAGAAAAGUUACCACAGAGAUAACUAGCUUGUGGCAGCUAAGUAUUCAUAGUGAUGUUGCUUUUUGAUUCUUUAAUAUUGGCUCUUCCUAUCAUACUGAAGCAGAAUUCAGUAAGUGUUGGAUUGUUCACUCACUAAUAGAGAAUAUAAGCUAGGUUUAGACUGUUGUAAGACAGGUUAGUUUUAUCCUACUGAUGAAGAUCACCACAAUGGUAAUUUAAUUUAGUAUGAGAGGAACCAUUGAUUCAGAUAAUUAGUUUUUGCAGUUGUCUGAUCAGACAGUGCUGUGAAGCUAUCAUCUGCUGGAUUAUGGCUGAAUGCCUCUAAGUCAGAAUCUGUACUGGAAUGCAGCAAUGUUGCUCUGCAUAUUGU